RNAcentral lists this ribosomal RNA (497 nucleotides) under uncultured bacterium. Its description in RNAcentral is "partial 16S ribosomal RNA". It matches the Rfam family "Bacterial small subunit ribosomal RNA", at positions 28 to 507 of the family's 1533-position model. The record is from RNAcentral.
GAUGAACGCUGGCGGCGUGCCUAAUACAUGCCAGUAGAACGCUGAAGGAAGGAGCUUGCUCUUUCCGGAUGAGUUGCGAACGGGUGAGUAACGCGUAGGUAACCUGCCUGGUAGCGGGGGAUAACUAUUGGAAACGAUAGCUAAUACCGCAUAACAGUAGAUGUUGCAUGAUAUCUACUUAAAAGGUGCAAUUGCACCACUACCAGAUGGACCUGCGUUGUAUUAGCUAGUUGGUGAGGUAACGGCUCACCAAGGCGACGAUACAUAGCCGACCUGAGAGGGUGAUCGGCCACACUGGGACUGAGACACGGCCCAGACUCCUACGGGAGGCAGCAGUAGGGAAUCUUCGGCAAUGGACGGAAGUCUGACCGAGCAACGCCGCGUGAGUGAAGAAGGUUUUCGGAUCGUAAAGCUCUGUUGUAAGAGAAGGACGAGUGUGAGAGUGGAAAGUUCACACUGUGACGGUAUCUUACCAGAAAGGGACGGCUAACUACGUG